Molecule: long non-coding RNA, 3459 nt
Organism: Neopsephotus bourkii (Bourke's parrot)
Lineage: Eukaryota; Metazoa; Chordata; Aves; Psittaciformes; Psittacidae
Exons: 2
Source: RefSeq, a predicted model, not a curated record
CAAACCAGGAAACAACUACAACAGCUCCUGCCUUGUUAUGUGUUGGAUGGAUGUUGGGUGACAGAAGCUCCCCAUGACAGUGUGUGCUUGAGCCCAGAACCCCCCUGUGUGCUGGGCUGCAUCCCCAAGGCUUGAGCAACAGGUCAAGGGAGGGGAUUCUCCCCCUCUGCUGCUCUCUGGGGAGACCCCCACGUGCAGUCCUGUGUCCAGCUUUGGGGCAGCAACACAAGAGGGACUUGGAGCUGUUGGAGCAAGUCCAGAGGAGGCCACAGUGAUGCUGUGAGGGCUGGAGCAGCUCUGCUCUGGAGACAGGCUGAGAGAGCUGGGCUGGUUCAGCCUUGGGAAGAGAAGGCUCCAGAGAGAUCUUAGUGCAGGUCCCAGUGCAUAAAGGGGCCAACAAGAAAGCUGGAGAGGGGUUCUAGUUGAAACUAGAUGAGCUUUAAAGGUAGCUUCCAACCUAGACCAUUCUGUGAUUCUAUUAUGAUCCUGUGGAACACGAAGGUCUGAAGUUCUUUCUAAUCAUGUCUUCUGUAUCACCUUUCCAGUGUAUCUGCAGGUCUUUCAGAUUGCUUCUGUAGAGUAAGCACAUGCAAGCAUGAAAGCACAUGCAGCUGCAUGAAGAUCCUGGCAAUGCACAGAUGGCAGAAGGAUGAACAGAGUCACUGUUGCUUUGUGAUGAUUCAUUUUUCACUUACUUCCUAGAGGGAAAUUGCUUUAAAACUGCUGCCAUACUGAAGUUACUUCAUGAGAUUGCACUGUGGCACAGACUUCCUUUUUUUUGUGAGACCUCCAAAACUUUGCAUAUUUGAAUAUUGGAGUAUUUUAUACUACAGGGAAAGGUGUGAAAAUGGCAUCAGUCCUUCAACUAAGACAAUAUUUUAAUUUUUCUGCACCUUGAUUGUCUUCCAGAAAUAAACAAAGAACACAUAUUUCUGCAGUAUGAAGCUACUUCAACUCUUAAUGCAGUAUGCACUCCAGACUAAAGGCUGGCUGGCUGCAGCUGUGCAGACAGUUUACCUUGACAGUUCUUGUGCAUUGCUCUUCAUUUACUUCUGAAGCUGAGGAGUUCCCUUUUUCCUGUUGGUUCUAAAUUUAAAUCAAGAUAAAUUUUCAAGAUAAUAUCAUUAGAAGAACAGAUCCAUGUGUCCUUUAACUCUAAUAGGACAAGAAGAGGUGAUGCCUUUAGCCUAAUACCUUGUUAGGGUAAUUACCACCUUUGGCAAACCAUCAAGCUUUUGGUCAUAUACAGAAAGCCUUCUUCAGGUAUGCUUAAAGUCUUCAGGUACUUAAAGACAAGGUUUUCUCUUUUUAAGGUUUAAAACAACUGGUAUCUUAACUCAUUUUCCAAACCAGAAACAUACGGAUGUCCAGAAUUGAAUUCAUUGAUGGUUUACAUGAAAAGGGGAAAAGUUAUAACAAGUGGGGUUUGUCUUUCUCUCUUCUCUCUUCUUCUUCCUCUCUCUUCUUUUUUUUUUUUUUAUUUAUUUGCUUGUUUUUUCUUUUUUAUCUAUUGUGUCUUUUGUUUUGUUUUAAAGUCCAUGAAUUUGUAAUACUGCAAUGAUUGGAAAGCUACUGCACUCAAAAUUGUAGAGCUUUUUUUUUUCAGGUGGAUUCAGACCUCACUGUUUUGAGUCAGAAUGAUCACUACAAGAACAUCUGACACUGAUUGCUGCUGAAAUGCCUGAUUAUGAGAGGGACAUGUAGAAGAGAUCUACUGGAAGCAAGACUGAUGAGAUGGCAGUUAGUGGGAAAAAAUAAUUCAGGAGGGAGUUGUGUCAGAUUUUUUAAAAGAUGCCUCUCUCAUCAGAAAGCAGAUAAAUGUACUUCAGAAGGCAAAUAAACAGCAAAUUUCUUGUACAGAAAAAAAUGCGUAUCCAGCUUCCUGCAGACAGAAAUCUGUUUUUUAAGUAGUUGAGAAGCACAUAUGAAAUCAGCAGUGUGUAAACCCUUUCUUGUUGAGUGCAGUACUUGUGGAGUAUGAGAUAUUUCCACUGGCACUAAUAUCACAACUGCUGCGUUUUCCAUGUCCACAGCUGUCUGCUCCUUACUGCAGGCAUAGCCUAAAUAGCCAUUUGUGAGUUGGAGGCCAGUCCUGCCAAAUGCUGAGUUUCUGCUGUAGGAGUCACUGGCUUAGUAUCUGGCUACGGACUGAUCUGCAGGGACUAAGGCAAGUCUGAUGUUGAAGCUGCCACUGUGAUGAGUGAUGGGAUAUCUUUACAGUGAGGGUGGUAAAACAGGCACGGGUUGCCCAGAGAGGUGGUAGAUGCACCAUCUCUGGAAACAUGCAAGGUGAGGCUGGAUGUGGCUCUGGGCAACCUGAUCUAGUUGAAAAUGUCCCUGCUCGUUGCAGAGUGGUUGGACUAGGUGACCUUUGAAGGCCCCUUCCAACCUAAACUGUUCUAUGAUACUAUGAUUGUGAACCUUAUUGAAGAAUGAGAAAUGCAAAAGGCAGGAUUUCAAUACAUGCUUCUAUGAGUGUAGACUAUUAGGGAGGGAUUGGAUCCAUCAUAGAGGCAGAAGAAUCUUUGGCAGCAGGCUGGCCAAUUUGGUGAGAUGGGCUUUAAACUGAAGGACUUGGGGUGGUGGGGAGAGAGGGAGGCUGUCCAGAGCGUCAAUGCUCACACCAAUGCUUCCUCCUGGGGAGUAGGUCUAGCUAACCAGUGCAGGGAUAGGUGUUGCUUGAUUGCCUAUGAAGGUAAGGAUUUUGAGGCUAACUGUAUUAAGGGUGUUUAUGGUGAAUCUUACACCCUUUCUAAGGAACCUAAUUGUGAAAUUAUAAAUUAAGCACCCAUUGCUUUUAGGAACUCCACAGAAUAUACCUUGUGCAGCACUUUGAACACAAGCCUAUUCCGUCUGCUGUAACUUUCAGGUGUAUUAGACCCAGAGACCCCUCAACUGUAUUCUGUCAGCAUGUGGAGAGAAUUACACAGCCAAGUAUGCAAUAGUUUAAGUGUCCUGUGCCUUACCUAACUUCUCAGCAGUUCUCUCCAUGAAAAGCCCUGUUUUGUAAAAUUAUUCCCAAAGCAAGAUACUUCUUACAGCUUGAUUAAAGAAGGUUGGAAAGGAUGCUAAAUUAGGGACUCCCUCACUGCCUGCCUUGCUUCAGAUACGAUGUGUAUUGUAAUUUGUUUUUGACUGAUAUGCAUUUCCCUCCUGGCCAGCACAGCCCUUCUUUAUCUCUCAGAAUAGUAGAUUUUCUGGAUGAAUUAUGUUAAACCAGUGCCUCUUUGCCUGAGGCAGUUGAAGUUACUGUCAACAUGUUGACGAAGUUACUGGUCUACUUUUCCACUGAGCCCCUUCAAAGCCACUCAGCAGAUGAAUGAGACACAUUGGAGGACUCCAGCUAUUCAGUUAGUAACUGAACCAAAAUGUUAUUUGUGAUUUUACCAGCAGUUCUUGUGAACAGCAUUAUUUGAUAGUCACUGGUGUGGAAAGACAUUAAACAGUUCUCAUCCCUCA